ACUAAGAUACAUAUUAGUUUACGUUGAUCAUGGAAUACUAAUCUUUGCUUUAUUUCUUGAUAGUAUUAACUCUACAAAUAGCAAUAUUAUAUUGUUUGUUUCAAUUCAUUUUUACGUUCUUAACGAAAUGAGGAAUAUAUUUGUUUUGCUAUGAUGUUUAUUUUUGAUUUGUUUUCCAGGUCUGUGAACAAAUUGUCUACUAGAAAUGUUGCUUCAAUAAUCAAUUUUUCUUUUUUUGUUGGUUUCUGGUAGAAAAUGUUGUUUAGUUAGUACAUCGGGUAGGUCAUGUUUUGGUUUUCCUUGUAGUUUUAUUAACUAUUUUGGAAAAUAAUGCAUGAAAAACGGUAAAAUGUAUACAAUACGUACGGUUUCUCAAUAACAGUUAUAUUUUUUCUAACCGAAUAAUUCGUGUGCCAUUUAAAAACAUAUUUUAUUUCAUUUUUUCAUACACCCCAUUUCAGAACUCGUA
Non-coding RNA from Cinara cedri, 469 nucleotides. The record is from the annotation of a GenBank genome assembly. Lineage: Eukaryota; Metazoa; Arthropoda; Insecta; Hemiptera; Aphididae.